CAGUAGCCGCGGGAAUACGAAGGGUGCAAGCGUUAAUCGGAAUUACUGGGCGUAAAGCGUGCGUAGGCGGUGAGUUAAGUCUGCUGUGAAAUCCCCGGGCUCAACCCCGGAACUGCAUCCGAUACUGCCAUGCUAGAGGAUUGGAGAGGUAGCUGGAAUUCUUGGUGUAGCAGUGAAAUGCGUGGAGAUCAAGAGGAACACUCGUGGCGAAAGCGAGCUACUGGACAAUAACUGACGCUGAGGCUCGAAGGCCAGGGUAGCGAAAGGGAUUAGAUACCCCAGUAGUCCCUGUCUCUUAUAC
Molecule: ribosomal RNA, 301 nt
Filed under: uncultured bacterium
Lineage: Bacteria
Description: partial 16S ribosomal RNA
Rfam family: Bacterial small subunit ribosomal RNA
Source: RNAcentral